RNAcentral lists this ribosomal RNA (206 nucleotides) under uncultured Bacillota bacterium. RNAcentral's name for it is "uncultured Firmicutes bacterium partial 16S ribosomal RNA". It matches the Rfam family "Bacterial small subunit ribosomal RNA", at positions 568 to 774 of the family's 1533-position model. Lineage: Bacteria; Bacillati; Bacillota. The record is from RNAcentral.
UGCGUAGGUGGCCUUUUAAGUUGGAUGUGAAAUACCCGGGCUUAACUUGGGGGUGCAUCUAAUACUGGAGGGCUAGAGUGCAGGAGAGGGAAGCGGAAUUCCUAGUGUAGCGGUGAAAUGCGUAGAUAUUAGGAGGAACACCAGUGGCGAAGGCGGCUUUCUGGACUGUAACUGACACUGAGGCACGAAAGCGUGGAGAGCAAACA